CCGGCUGAUGAGACCAAGGCGAAUGCGACCCCGUGUCUAUGAUGCUGAGCCCCCUGGGGGUAGAGGUUCUGGAUGGGAUCUGAAAUCUUAGUGAGGGUGCCUGAGGCCUGGUUCCUCACUGUAAGACAGAUCGACAUUGCUGCUGGCCUCACCUCCACUUGUGCUACUGCCUGCAGUUCCUGGCAGCUGCAAGCAGGGGGGCCCACAGGUGGGGGACAAAGUAGAGCUGGGCACGGGCCAUCUGGGCGCAACCUUGGAUCUGACG
Molecule: small nucleolar RNA, 265 nt
Organism: Manis javanica (Malayan pangolin)
Lineage: Eukaryota; Metazoa; Chordata; Mammalia; Pholidota; Manidae
Source: RefSeq, a predicted model, not a curated record